UGGGGAAUCUUGCGCAAUGGGCGAAAGCCUGACGCAGCGACGCCGCGUGGGUGAUGAAGGCCUUCGGGUCGUAAAGCCCUUUCGACCGGGAAGAACGACCCCGCGGUGAACAGCCGUGGGGAGUGACGGUACCGGAAGAAGAAGCACCGGCUAACUACGUGCCAGCAGCCGCGGUAAUACGUAGGGCGCGAGCGUUGUCCGGAAUUAUUGGGCGUAAAGAGCUCGUAGGCGGCUUGUCACGUCGGAUGUGAAAGCCCGGGGCUUAACCCCGGGUCUGCAUUCGAUACGGGCUAGCUAGAGUGUGGUAGGGGAGAUCGGAAUUCCUGGUGUAGCGGUGAAAUGCGCAGAUAUCAGGAGGAACACCGGUGGCGAAGGCGGAUCUCUGGGCCAUUACUGACGCUGAGGAGCGAAAGCGUGGGGAGCGAACAGGAUUAGAUACC
Molecule: ribosomal RNA, 440 nt
Filed under: uncultured bacterium
Lineage: Bacteria
Description: bacterial SSU rRNA
Rfam family: Bacterial small subunit ribosomal RNA
Source: RNAcentral